GAUGAAGAACGUAGCGAAAUGCGAUAAUUAAUGUGAAUUGCAGAAUUCAGUGAAUCAUCGAAUCUUUGAACGCACAUUGCGCCCGCCAGUAUUCUGGCGGGCAUGCCUGUCUGAGCGUCAUUUCAACCCUCAUGCCCCUAGGGCGUGGUGUUGGGGAUCGGCCAAAGCCCGCGAGGGACGGCCGGCCCCUAAAUCUAGUGGCGGACCCGUCGUGGCCUCCUCUGCGAAGUAGUGAUAUUCCGCAUCGGAGAGCGACGAGCCCCUGCCGUUAAACCCCCAACUUUCCAAGGUUGACCUCAGAUCAGGUAGGAAUACCCGCUGAACUUAAGCAUAUCAAUAAGCGGAGGA
Molecule: unclassified non-coding RNA, 348 nt
Filed under: soil metagenome
Description: partial contains 5.8S ribosomal RNA, internal transcribed spacer 2, and large subunit ribosomal RNA
Rfam family: 5.8S ribosomal RNA (bases 1-120)
Source: RNAcentral